ACACACAACCCUUGGUUUUGGCAUCUCAACCUAAUCCUUAUCUCAGCCCCCCAACAUCCCUUGCAACUCAUGUUUAAAUAGGAUAAAGGGAAGUUAGAGAUUGGAUAGGAAACAAGAGUCCAAAACACCUAGGACUCUAGAAUUUUUUAUGCCGCCAACCCUCCAAAUUUUUUGCCCAAAUUUUACAUGAUAAUAUGGG
RNAcentral lists this long non-coding RNA (199 nucleotides) under Elaeis guineensis (African oil palm). RNAcentral describes it as "long non-coding RNA (EGUI_LNC077025)". Lineage: Eukaryota; Viridiplantae; Streptophyta; Magnoliopsida; Arecales; Arecaceae. The record is from RNAcentral.